AUAUAUAUAUAUAGCUUUAUAUUCAAGUAUGAUAUAAAAUUGCAAAUUUUAUGGUGUAAUAAAAUAAUACUAAGGCUU
RNAcentral lists this transfer RNA (78 nucleotides) under Parasarpa dudu (white commodore). RNAcentral describes it as "tRNA-Cys". The record is from RNAcentral. Lineage: Eukaryota; Metazoa; Arthropoda; Insecta; Lepidoptera; Nymphalidae.